AUUGAACGCUGGCGGCAUGCCUUACACAUGCAAGUCGAACGGCAGCACGGGGGCAACCCUGGUGGCGAGUGGCGAACGGGUGAGUAAUAUAUCGGAACGUGCCCUGGAGUGGGGGAUAACGUAGCGAAAGCUACGCUAAUACCGCAUACGAUCUACGGAUGAAAGUGGGGGAUCGCAAGACCUCAUGCUCGUGGAGCGGCCGAUAUCUGAUUAGCUAGUUGGUAGGUAAAAGCCUACCAAGGCAUCGAUCAGUAGCUGGUUUGAGAGAACGACCAGCCACACUGGGACUGAGACACGGCCCAGACUCCUACGGGAGGCAGCAGUGGGGAAUUUUGGACAAUGGGCGCAAGCCUGAUCCAGCAAUGCCGCGUGUGUGAAGAAGGCCU
This 386-nucleotide ribosomal RNA is filed under the name uncultured bacterium. Its description in RNAcentral is "bacterial SSU rRNA". It matches the Rfam family "Bacterial small subunit ribosomal RNA", at positions 30 to 417 of the family's 1533-position model. The record is from RNAcentral.